AGUGAACGCUGGCGGUAGGCCUAACACAUGCAAGUCGAACGGCAGCACAUUAAGAGCUUGCUCUUACGGGUGGCGAGUGGCGGGCGGGUGAGGAAUACAGCGGAAUCUACUUUUUCGUGGGGGAUAACGUAGGGAAACUUAUGCUAAUACCGCAUACGACCUACGGUUGAAAUCAGGGGAGCUUCGUACCUUUCGCGAUUGAAUGAGCCGAUGUCGGAUUAGCUAGUUGGCGGGGUAAAGGCCCACCAAGGCGACGAUCCGUAGCUGGUCGAAGAGGAUGAUCAGCCAAACUGGAACUGAGACACGGUCCAGACCCCUACGGGAGGAACAGGAGGGGAAUAUUGGACAAUGGGCGCAAGCCUGAUCAAGACCUACCGCGUGGGUGAAGAAGGUCUUCGGGUUGUAAAGCCUUUUUGUUGGGAAAGAAAAGCAGCAGGUUAAUACCCCGCUGUUGUGACGGUAACCAAAGAAUAAGCAACGGCUAACUUCGUG
Molecule: ribosomal RNA, 492 nt
Filed under: uncultured bacterium
Lineage: Bacteria
Description: partial 16S ribosomal RNA
Rfam family: Bacterial small subunit ribosomal RNA
Source: RNAcentral